UGGGUUGUGGCUCAAUGGUAGAGUGCUUGCCUCGCAUGUGUGAGGCCUUGGGUUCGAUCCUCAGCACCACAU
Molecule: transfer RNA, 72 nt
Filed under: Ictidomys tridecemlineatus (thirteen-lined ground squirrel)
Lineage: Eukaryota; Metazoa; Chordata; Mammalia; Rodentia; Sciuridae
Description: Spermophilus tridecemlineatus (thirteen-lined ground squirrel) tRNA
Rfam family: tRNA
About the family: Transfer RNA (tRNA) molecules are approximately 80 nucleotides in length.
Source: Rfam by way of RNAcentral